GACCUCAAAUCAGGUAGGGCUACCCGCUGAACUUAAGCAUAUCAAUAAGCGGAGGAAAAGAAACUAACAAGGAUUCCCCUAGUAACGGCGAGCGAACCGGGAUGAGCUCAAAUUUGAAAUCUGGCGCCCUCCGGACGUCCGAGUUGUAAUCUAUAGAAGCGUUUUCCGUGCCGGACCGUGUCCAAGUCCCUUGGAACAGGGUAUCAAAGAGGGUGACAAUCCCGUACUUGACACGACGACCGGCGCUCUGUGAUACGUUCUCUACGAGUCGAGUUGUUUGGGAAUGCAGCUCAAAACGGGUGGUAAAUUCCAUCUAAAGCUAAAUAUUGGCGAGAGACCGAUAGCGAACAAGUACCGUGAGGGAAAGAUGAAAAGCAC
RNAcentral lists this ribosomal RNA (378 nucleotides) under Biatoropsis macaronesica. RNAcentral describes it as "Biatoropsis sp. AMM-2022d partial large subunit ribosomal RNA". It matches the Rfam family "Eukaryotic large subunit ribosomal RNA", at positions 1 to 374 of the family's 3401-position model. Lineage: Eukaryota; Fungi; Basidiomycota; Tremellomycetes; Tremellales; Tremellaceae. The record is from RNAcentral.